GAUGAACGCUGGCGGCGUGCCUAAUACAUGCAAGUCGAACGGAAAAUUCUUGGUACUUGUAUCGGGAGUUUUUAGUGGCGAACGGGUGAGUAACGCGUUGGUGACCUACCCCAAAGUGGGGGAUAACAGAUCGAAAGGUCUGCUAAUACCUCAUGUUGUCAUCGUUUUUAGAAAUCGAUGAUUAAAGGAGCAAUCCGCUUUGGGAGGGGCCUGCGUCCCAUCAGCUAGUUGGUAGGGUAAUGGCCUACCAAGGCUUUGACGGGUAAGGGACCUGAGAGGGUGACCCCUCACAAUGGAACUGAAACACGGUCCAUACACCUACGGGUGGCAGCAGUAGGGAAUAUUGCACAAUGGACGAAAGUCUGAUGCAGCAACGCCGCGUGUACGAUGAAGGCCUUCGGGUCGUAAAGUACUUUUCAGGGAGAUGAGAAAGGACAGUA
RNAcentral lists this ribosomal RNA (440 nucleotides) under uncultured Anaerolineaceae bacterium. RNAcentral describes it as "bacterial SSU rRNA". It matches the Rfam family "Bacterial small subunit ribosomal RNA", at positions 28 to 477 of the family's 1533-position model. The record is from RNAcentral. Lineage: Bacteria; Bacillati; Chloroflexota; Anaerolineae; Anaerolineales; Anaerolineaceae.